This 253-nucleotide ribosomal RNA is filed under the name uncultured bacterium. Its description in RNAcentral is "partial 16S ribosomal RNA". It matches the Rfam family "Bacterial small subunit ribosomal RNA", at positions 524 to 776 of the family's 1533-position model. The record is from RNAcentral.
UACAGAGGGUGCAAGCGUUAAUCGGAAUUACUGGGCGUAAAGCGUGCGUAGGCGGUUAUUUAAGUCAGGUGUGAAAGCCCCGGGCUCAACCUGGGAAUUGCAUUUGAGACUGAAUAGCUAGGGUGCGGAAGAGGGAAGCGGAAUUUCCGGUGUAGCGGUGAAAUGCGUAGAUAUCGGAAGGAACACCAGUGGCGAAAGCGGCUUCCUGGUCCAGCACCGACGUUCAGGCACGAAAGCGUGGGGAGCAAACAGG